This 342-nucleotide long non-coding RNA is filed under the name Chloebia gouldiae (Gouldian finch). RNAcentral's name for it is "Erythrura gouldiae (Gouldian finch) lncRNA (ENSEGOG00005013667.1)". Lineage: Eukaryota; Metazoa; Chordata; Aves; Passeriformes; Passeridae. The record is from RNAcentral.
GCAUCUGGAGUCUUUACAGAGGGAGGGGUUUAGGCUGGGAGCCCUCAUCUCCAGGAGCUGCAUCCAGGAGUGGCUGGGAGCCACCUCUUUAGAUCUCCAUGGGUUGUCCUGGGCACAGACACUCCACACUGAGCAACCUGAGCACUCCUGGCAGAUUAUUACAGUUGGGAGAGCUUUGGGAGGCAGAGUUUGAGCAUGUGGGAGGAGUUGGGCCAGAACCCCAUGAAUUCUCUUCUCUCUGGGACAGGGAAUGAAGACAGCAAAUUCCAUCAGUUUUGCAGAACUGAAGAGAUGGGAUUUCUGAAGAUGAAAAGAUGAGCUCAUUUCCUCAUUUGGGGUCCC